Molecule: ribosomal RNA, 525 nt
Filed under: Triticum aestivum (bread wheat)
Lineage: Eukaryota; Viridiplantae; Streptophyta; Magnoliopsida; Poales; Poaceae
Description: partial small subunit ribosomal RNA
Source: RNAcentral
AUGGGCAUUCUGGCUCUCUUCGGCGAGGCCACGGGUCUGAAAAUCAAUCCGGACAAAACAUGCGUCGCCCCAAUCCGAUGCGAAGACAUAGACCUUCAGAUAGUGCUGCAAAACUUCACGGGCAAGAUCGUAGGUUUCCCAUUGACGUAUCUUGGCCUCCCGAUCACCGUCUCCCGGCUACGCAUCGUGCAUCUGCAAUUCAUCCUAGAUAGGAUACGCACUCGCCUUGCAGGAUGGAAAGGCCGUUUGUUAUCCAUCGCCGGCCGGAGGGUUUUAGUCAGGAGCGUUCUGACGGCACUGCCAACAUACGCGUUGUCCGUUCUCAGGGCGCCUGUCAAGUUUCUCAAGGACAUCGACAAGGUGCGCAGAUGCUUUCUUUGGGCGGGAGAGGAGGAAUUGACUGGCGGAAAAUGCAAAGUUAGCUGGCAGCAAGUGUGCUCGCCGGUGCAGCAUGGAGGCUUGGGCAUCCUGAACAUGACCAAAUUCAAUCGCGCUCUCCGGCUCAGAUGGUUAUGGCUGUCUUAG